Molecule: long non-coding RNA, 306 nt
Filed under: Elaeis guineensis (African oil palm)
Lineage: Eukaryota; Viridiplantae; Streptophyta; Magnoliopsida; Arecales; Arecaceae
Description: long non-coding RNA (EGUI_LNC037950)
Source: RNAcentral
AUAUAGCUUUCGAUUUGAAAUCUAAUAGGGGCUUGGCCAUAUCUCCAUUUCUGACCUCAGUCGCUAGUCCUUACUUCGAUGAUCUAUCUCCACCAAACUUGGUACUGGCCGACCUAACAAGGCACUUGAGCUAAUCUUGUUUGGCAAAAUAAGAAAGGUUGACCUUCAACCCACAUGUAGAUCUUCAAAUCUCAUGACCACCGAGAAUAAAUGAUGACGAGCGGAUAAGAAAUAAAUAAUAAAUAAAUCUCUCCAGAUAAGAGAAGUAUAACGACCGAAUCUCGUCAGAUAAAACAAAACCAACCA